Molecule: ribosomal RNA, 272 nt
Filed under: uncultured bacterium
Lineage: Bacteria
Description: partial 16S ribosomal RNA
Rfam family: Bacterial small subunit ribosomal RNA
Source: RNAcentral
CCUGCCGGCGACCGGCGCACGGGUGAGUAACACGUAUGCGACCUGCCCCCCGCAGGGGGAUAACCGGGAGAAAUCCCGACUAAUACCGCGUAACGCCGCGGACCUGCAUGGGUCUGCGGCCAAAGGAAGCGAUUCCGGCGGGGGUGGGCAUGCGGCGCAUUAGCUAGUCGGCGGGGUAACGGCCACCGAGGCGACGAUGCGUAGGGGUUCUGAGAGGAAGGUCCCCCACACUGGUACUGAGACACGGACCAGACUCCUACGGGAGGCAGCAG